UUAGCAUGAAGGGUUGUUGAAUUUUGUCAAAGGCUUUUUCUGCAUCUACUGAGAUAAUCAUGUGGUGCAUAUCAGUUUAUAGUAUAUGAUGUGGUGUGUUAUUCAAUAAAUAUUUAAAUGUGAAGGAACUAGUAAUUCAGAAACACCUAUGACAUGUUCCUAGAACUGCCUCACACAGCAAUUUAAUAUUUUCUCUUUUUGCUGCAACAAAUUAAGUGUAUCAAUUCACACUGAGCAAUAGGGUCACUAUUAUAUCAGUCUGUGCAUGUUUCUGAAAAAAAUUAUGACUCAAAUU
This 295-nucleotide long non-coding RNA is filed under the name Pan troglodytes (chimpanzee). RNAcentral describes it as "long non-coding RNA NONPTRT014049". The record is from RNAcentral. Lineage: Eukaryota; Metazoa; Chordata; Mammalia; Primates; Hominidae.